CGUAGGGCGCGAGCGUUGUCCGGAAUUAUUGGGCGUAAAGAGCUCGUAGGCGGCUUGUCACGUCGGUUGUGAAAGCCCGGGGCUUAACCCCGGGUCUGCAGUCGAUACGGGCAGGCUAGAGUUCGGUAGGGGAGAUCGGAAUUCCUGGUGUAGCGGUGAAAUGCGCAGAUAUCAGGAGGAACACCGGUGGCGAAGGCGGAUCUCUGGGCCGAUACUGACGCUGAGGAGCGAAAGCGUGGGGAGCGAACAGGAUUAGAUACCCUGGUAGUCCACGCCGUAAACGGUGGGCACUAGGUGUGGGCAACAUUCCACGUUGUCCGUGCCGCAGCUAACGCAUUAAGUGCCCCGCCUGGGGAGUACGGCCGCAAGGCUA
This 373-nucleotide ribosomal RNA is filed under the name uncultured organism. RNAcentral's name for it is "bacterial SSU rRNA". It matches the Rfam family "Bacterial small subunit ribosomal RNA", at positions 526 to 896 of the family's 1533-position model. The record is from RNAcentral.